GUCUACAGCCAUGCCACCCUGAACAUGCCCGAUAUCUUCUGAUCUUGGAAGCUAAGCAGGGUCGGGCCUGGUUAGUACUUGGAUGGGAGACCACCUAGGAAUGCCAGGUGCUGUAGGCA
Molecule: ribosomal RNA, 119 nt
Filed under: Pteropus alecto (black flying fox)
Lineage: Eukaryota; Metazoa; Chordata; Mammalia; Chiroptera; Pteropodidae
Source: RNAcentral